GACGAACGCUGGCGGCGCGCCUAACACAUGCAAGUCGAACGAGCGAGAGAGAGCUUGCUUUCUCGAGCGAGUGGCGAACGGGUGAGUAACGCGUGAGGAACCUGCCUCAAAGAGGGGGACAACAGUUGGAAACGACUGCUAAUACCGCAUAAGCCCACGGUGCCGCAUGGCACAGAGGGAAAAGGAGCAAUCCGCUUUGAGAUGGCCUCGCGUCCGAUUAGCUAGUUGGUGAGGUAAUGGCCCACCAAGGCGACGAUCGGUAGCCGGACUGAGAGGUUGAACGGCCACAUUGGGACUGAGACACGGCCCAGACUCCUACGGGAGGCAGCAGUGGGGAAUAUUGCACAAUGGGGGAAACCCUGAUGCAGCGACGCCGCGUGGAGGAAGUAGGUCUUCGGAUUGUAAACUCCUGUUGUUGGGGAAGAUAAUGACGGUACCCAACAAGGAAGUGACGGCUAACUACGUG
This 466-nucleotide ribosomal RNA is filed under the name uncultured bacterium. RNAcentral describes it as "partial 16S ribosomal RNA". It matches the Rfam family "Bacterial small subunit ribosomal RNA", at positions 28 to 507 of the family's 1533-position model. The record is from RNAcentral.